This 143-nucleotide small nuclear RNA is filed under the name Lates calcarifer (barramundi perch). RNAcentral describes it as "U2 spliceosomal RNA (ENSLCAG00010021823.1)". It matches the Rfam family "U2 spliceosomal RNA", at positions 38 to 185 of the family's 192-position model. From Rfam's summary of the family: U2 is a small nuclear RNA (snRNA) component of the spliceosome (involved in pre-mRNA splicing). Lineage: Eukaryota; Metazoa; Chordata; Actinopteri; Centropomidae. The record is from RNAcentral.
AUCUGUUCUUAUCAGUUUAAUAUCUGAUACGUCCCUACCCGGGGACCAUAUAUUAAAUUGAUUUUUGGAUCAGGGAGCCGGAACGGGGGCUUGCUCCUUCACUCCACCAUCGACCCGGUAUUGCAUUACCUCAGGUACGGUGC